RNAcentral lists this ribosomal RNA (384 nucleotides) under Bacillus cereus. RNAcentral's name for it is "bacterial SSU rRNA". It matches the Rfam family "Bacterial small subunit ribosomal RNA", at positions 553 to 935 of the family's 1533-position model. The record is from RNAcentral. Lineage: Bacteria; Bacillati; Bacillota; Bacilli; Caryophanales; Bacillaceae.
AUUGGGCGUAAGCGCGCGCAGGUGGUUUCUUAAGUCUGAUGUGAAAGCCCACGGCUCAACCGUGGAGGGUCAUUGGAAACUGGGAGACUUGAGUGCAGAAGAGGAAAGUGGAAUUCCAUGUGUAGCGGUGAAAUGCGUAGAGAUAUGGAGGAACACCAGUGGCGAAGGCGACUUUCUGGUCUGUAACUGACACUGAGGCGCGAAAGCGUGGGGAGCAAACAGGAUUAGAUACCCUGGUAGUCCACGCCGUAAACGAUGAGUGCUAAGUGUUAGAGGGUUUCCGCCCUUUAGUGCUGAAGUUAACGCAUUAAGCACUCCGCCUGGGGAGUACGGCCGCAAGGCUGAAACUCUAAGGAAUUGACGGGGCGCCCGCACAAGCGGUGG